GUAAUUGAUGAACUAUUGGAUGAGUUGCAUGGAGCACAAUGGUUUGCCAAACUUGAUCUUAGAGCUGGAUAUCACCAGAUAAGAUUAGCUCCUCGUGAAGAAUAUAAAACCGCAUUUCAGACACACCAUGGUCAUUUUGAGUUUUUGGUGAUGGGAUUUUGUCUCACUAGCGCCCAUAAUACAUUCCAAGGAGCAAUGAACGUUUCCAUGUCACAAGAACCUGAGAUGCUUAGGCAUUUUGUGCUGGUAUUCUUUGAUGAUAUUUUGGUUUUCAGCAAGACCCUCAAGCAACAUCUAUUGCAUGUUAGGAAGCUGUUGCAAGUACUACAAGGAGACAAGUGGUAUGCCAAAUUGUCCAAAUGUGAAUUUUUCUCC
RNAcentral lists this ribosomal RNA (375 nucleotides) under Triticum aestivum (bread wheat). Its description in RNAcentral is "partial small subunit ribosomal RNA". The record is from RNAcentral. Lineage: Eukaryota; Viridiplantae; Streptophyta; Magnoliopsida; Poales; Poaceae.